This 253-nucleotide ribosomal RNA is filed under the name uncultured bacterium. RNAcentral's name for it is "partial 16S ribosomal RNA". It matches the Rfam family "Bacterial small subunit ribosomal RNA", at positions 524 to 776 of the family's 1533-position model. The record is from RNAcentral.
GACGAACCGUGCGAACGUUGUUCGGAAUCACUGGGCUUAAAGGGCGCGUAGGCGGGCGGGCAAGUCUGCGGUGAAAGCCUCCAGCUCAACUGGAGAAGUGCCGUGGAUACUGCUCAUCUUGAGGAGGGUAGGGGCGUCUGGAACGUUGGGUGGAGCGGUGAAAUGCGUUGAUAUCCAACGGAACUCCGGUGGCGAAGGCGAGGCGCUGGACCAUUUCUGACGCUGAUGCGCGAAAGCCAGGGGAGCGAACGGG